GGCUGGGAUAGGCUCCAGCAUCCCACGCGACCCUCAUGAGGAUAAUAGGUAGAAAAUGAAUGAAUGAAUGAUUUAUUCUAUUUCUAUGAUAUUGUUAAGGAAAAUUUGUUGGUCAGACUGUGGUGACCUCAAAGAUUCCACUGUACAAAUGAUGCAUUUUCAUUAUUCACGUAAAUCCCAAUUGUGAGUCGGAAUGAAAUGCAGCACCUACCUUUGUUGUGCCUGCUCGCCAGGUGGUAGGCUCUUGAUCUAUAAUGAAUGUGUGUUUGGGUGUAGAUGCUGUCCAGGUCUUGUUUCCAGGUAUCUGGGUUUAGGGAUCUGAGAAGCUCUUCCACGGUGUCAAAGGCAGCUAUGGUUCGAUCCAGGUCUUCCAAAGAGAGAGGAACCUCGGUGACUGCCACUGGUCCAACAGGACUGUCAUCCUGGGAAUCAAGUUUGACAGCUCUGAACAGAACAAAUUAGACCUGCUAGAUGAAGCCACAGCUUCGGUCUAAUUGAAGAGAUGGUGUACACAUGUGCAGGAGAACGUUGAGGAGAGAGAGAUCCUCACUCGGGUUGUAGAAUAUUGAAGGACGUUGACGCUCAAGAAUUUGGUCUCAAAAGCUUAGACAAGAUAAUGAGCAAUGUUCAGCCCCAUCUGUGACAUGAAAGAGGAAGCCAGACAACAUCUAUAAAUGGCUUUCUGCCUCUUUGCUGGCAUUUCUCUCCCCCCUUUCCCUCCUGAUUACAAUGUGGUGAACAUCAAAGGUCCUUUCUUUCUUCUUUCCUCAUCCUGACAAAAUGACAAAGUGAGUAAUAAAAUCCUGCAUGCGUGUUCUACCUGCACACGUUGUUCUCCGCCUCCUCCAGACCGAAGUGACUGUCGAAUUCCAGGUGGAUUGUACUUCCUGGCGGCGACACCAGUUUCCAUAACAGCUGCAGGUUCCGUGGGUACGAGUUGGGGUACCGUGGGCUGUGGAUGACUCCGCCCGCCGACGUGACUGUGAUGUUGUCGUAUUUCCGGUACAAGUCUGCAGUGAGUGAAACAGUGGUUGUUUGUUAGUAGUUCUACAUGUGUUUACAGUAUAUACAAAUAUUGUUUAGAAUAUUAAAGAGUGUAUUGCUCUUGGUGCAGAGAGCACUUUACUUUUUUUCCCCAAAAGAGCUGAGCCUGCAUAAUGUGGUUGCAUAAGCAGAUUAAUACCUUGAACAAAUGAGGAGUACCUGGUACACACACAGUUUGAUGGUCAAGCAGCAUCCUGAAGAUGGCUGACAGAGCUGUUUUUUUCAGAUGUGUGAAUUUGUAAAGAGAGAGUUGAAUGUGCUGUAUAAUCAAGGCAGCACAGUUGCAACCCCAGGAGGAUGAUGAUGAUGAUGAUGAUGAAGCUUUGGCCUUCUACUUUACCUUUUCAUAGCACAGCCCAAUCACUCUGACCAUUUUCCCAUUUCUCUGCCCCUUCCAGUUGUCUUCUUUCAUUUGGUCAGUGUAGUGAACAUGCUACUCAUCAAUCAUUUAUUCAGCACCGCACCUACAGUAGAUGAGCUUGUGGCUCCUUGAUUCAGGAGAGAUGUCUAUUUUCUCUUCUGCUGUCUCACUCGGCUGAUCAAAAGUCUGACUGGGUGUAUAGGCCCCUUUCCCCAAUAAAAAUGAUUUCACGCUGUAAGGUUAGCCAGGGACAAAUCCCUGUAUGUGUGAGUGUGUGUGUGUGUAGGCAGAUAGGUGUA
Molecule: non-coding RNA, 1704 nt
Organism: Doryrhamphus excisus (bluestripe pipefish)
Lineage: Eukaryota; Metazoa; Chordata; Actinopteri; Syngnathiformes; Syngnathidae
Source: RefSeq, a predicted model, not a curated record